Molecule: small nucleolar RNA, 138 nt
Organism: Sciurus vulgaris (Eurasian red squirrel)
Lineage: Eukaryota; Metazoa; Chordata; Mammalia; Rodentia; Sciuridae
Source: Ensembl
UGCUCCUGACCUGGGAAGAAUGGCAUCAGUCAAGUUGGUGGUGAUCAUCUCAUCAGGCAGGGGCAAAACAAUCCCUUGUUGAACCCAGCUUGACUUUUGGUUCAUGUCCAUUUCCCAUUUCAUACCUUGGACACAUGG